CCCGCCGGACGGGCAGUCGCCCGCUUGCUUCCGAAAGGAGGCAAAUGGGAGGAAAGUCCGGUCUCCAUAGGGCAGCAUGCCGGCUAACGGCCGGGGGGAUUCGCUCAAAGCGAGUUUCACGGAAAGUACCACAGAAAACAAUACCGCCUGCCAUGUAUAUGGUGGGUAAGGGUGAAAAGGUGCGGUAAGAGCGCACCGCGUCCGCAGUAAUGCGGAUGGCAGGGUAAACCCCAUGUGGAGCAAGACCAAAUAGGGGACGAGGAGCGGCCCGCUCCGUUACCAGUUCCGGGUAGGUCGCUGGAGCCUCGGAGUAAUCCGAGGCCUAGAUGAAUGAUUGCCGCCCCAUCUCUGAAAAGAGCGGGGGACACAGAAACCGGCUUAUAGUCCGGCGGGUCUG
This 397-nucleotide RNase P RNA is filed under the name Terriglobia bacterium. Its description in RNAcentral is "RNase P RNA component class A". It matches the Rfam family "Bacterial RNase P class A". Rfam says of the family: Ribonuclease P (RNase P) is a ubiquitous endoribonuclease, found in archaea, bacteria and eukarya as well as chloroplasts and mitochondria. Its best characterised activity is the generation of mature 5'-ends of tRNAs by cleaving the 5'-leader elements of precursor-tRNAs. Lineage: Bacteria; Pseudomonadati; Acidobacteriota; Terriglobia. The record is from RNAcentral.